This 628-nucleotide ribosomal RNA is filed under the name Trichoderma atroviride. RNAcentral describes it as "eukaryotic LSU rRNA". The stretch from base 239 to 392 matches the Rfam family "5.8S ribosomal RNA". The record is from RNAcentral. Lineage: Eukaryota; Fungi; Ascomycota; Sordariomycetes; Hypocreales; Hypocreaceae.
GGAAGUAAAAGUCGUAACAAGGUCUCCGUUGGUGAACCAGCGGAGGGAUCAUUACCGAGUUUACAACUCCCAAACCCAAUGUGAACCAUACCAAACUGUUGCCUCGGCGGGGUCACGCCCCGGGUGCGUCGCAGCCCCGGAACCAGGCGCCCGCCGGAGGGACCAACCAAACUCUUUCUGUAGUCCCCUCGCGGACGUUAUUUCUUACAGCUCUGAGCAAAAAUUCAAAAUGAAUCAAAACUUUCAACAACGGAUCUCUUGGUUCUGGCAUCGAUGAAGAACGCAGCGAAAUGCGAUAAGUAAUGUGAAUUGCAGAAUUCAGUGAAUCAUCGAAUCUUUGAACGCACAUUGCGCCCGCCAGUAUUCUGGCGGGCAUGCCUGUCCGAGCGUCAUUUCAACCCUCGAACCCCUCCGGGGGUCCGGCGUUGGGGAUCGGGAACCCCUAAGACGGGAUCCCGGCCCCGAAAUACAGUGGCGGUCUCGCCGCAGCCUCUCAUGCGCAGUAGUUUGCACAACUCGCACCGGGAGCGCGGCGCGUCCACGUCCGUAAAACACCCAACUUCUGAAAUGUUGACCUCGGAUCAGGUAGGAAUACCCGCUGAACUUAAGCAUAUCAAUAAGCGGAGGA